This 1139-nucleotide ribosomal RNA is filed under the name Escherichia coli. RNAcentral describes it as "partial 23S ribosomal RNA". It matches the Rfam family "Bacterial large subunit ribosomal RNA", at positions 1 to 1172 of the family's 2925-position model. The record is from RNAcentral. Lineage: Bacteria; Pseudomonadati; Pseudomonadota; Gammaproteobacteria; Enterobacterales; Enterobacteriaceae.
GGGUUGUGAGGUUAAGCGACUAAGCGUACACGGUGGAUGCCCUGGCAGUCAGAGGCGAUGAAGGACGUGCUAAUCUGCGAUAAGCGUCGGUGAGGUGAUAUGAACCGUUAUAACCGGCGAUUUCCGAAUGGGGAAACCCAGUGUGUUUCGACACACUAUCAUUAACUGAAUCCAUAGGUUAAUGAGGCGAACCGGGGGAACUGAAACAUCUAAGUACCCCGAGGAAAAGAAAUCAACCGAGAUUCCCCCAGUAGCGGCGAGCGAACGGGGAGGAGCCCAGAGCCUGAAUCAGUGUGUGUGUUAGUGGAAGCGUCUGGAAAGGCGCGCGAUACAGGGUGACAGCCCCGUACACAAAAAUGCACAUAUUGUGAGCUCGAUGAGUAGGGCGGGACACGUGGUAUCCUGUCUGAAUAUGGGGGGACCAUCCUCCAAGGCUAAAUACUCCUGACUGACCGAUAGUGAACCAGUACCGUGAGGGAAAGGCGAAAAGAACCCCGGCGAGGGGAGUGAAAAAGAACCUGAAACCGUGUACGUACAAGCAGUGGGAGCCUCUUAAUGGGGUGACUGCGUACCUUUUGUAUAAUGGGUCAGCGACUUAUAUUCUGUAGCAAGGUUAACCGAAUAGGGGAGCCGAAGGGAAACCGAGUCUUAACUGGGCGUUAAGUUGCAGGGUAUAGACCCGAAACCCGGUGAUCUAGCCAUGGGCAGGUUGAAGGUUGGGUAACACUAACUGGAGGACCGAACCGACUAAUGUUGAAAAAUUAGCGGAUGACUUGUGGCUGGGGGUGAAAGGCCAAUCAAACCGGGAGAUAGCUGGUUCUCCCCGAAAGCUAUUUAGGUAGCGCCUCGUGAAUUCAUCUCCGGGGGUAGAGCACUGUUUCGGCAAGGGGGUCAUCCCGACUUACCAACCCGAUGCAAACUGCGAAUACCGGAGAAUGUUAUCACGGGAGACACACGGCGGGUGCUAACGUCCGUCGUGAAGAGGGAAACAACCCAGACCGCCAGCUAAGGUCCCAAAGUCAUGGUUAAGUGGGAAACGAUGUGGGAAGGCCCAGACAGCCAGGAUGUUGGCUUAGAAGCAGCCAUCAUUUAAAGAAAGCGUAAUAGCUCACUGGUCGAGUCGGCCUGCGCGGAAGAUG